GUGCUCGCUUCGGCAGCACACAUACUAAAAUUGGAACGAUACAGAGAAGAUUAGCAUGGCCCCUGUGCAAGGAUGACAUGCAAAUUCGUGAAGCAUUCCAUAUUUAA
This 107-nucleotide small nuclear RNA is filed under the name Tupaia belangeri chinensis (Chinese tree shrew). Lineage: Eukaryota; Metazoa; Chordata; Mammalia; Scandentia; Tupaiidae. The record is from RNAcentral.